UACGGAAGGUGCGAGCGUUGUUCGGAUUGAUUGGGCGUAAAGCGCAUGUAGGCGGGUUCGUAAGUCGGAUGUGAAAGCCCUGGGCUCAACCUGGGAACUGCAUCUGAAACUGCGAAUCUUGAAUGCUCGAGGGGUUGGUGGAAUUCCUGGUGUAGGAGUGAAAUCCGUAGAUAUCAGGAGGAACACCGGAGGCGAAGGCGGCCAACUGGCGAUGCAUUGACGCUGAGGUGCGAAAGCGUGGGGAGCAAACAGG
RNAcentral lists this ribosomal RNA (253 nucleotides) under uncultured bacterium. RNAcentral describes it as "partial 16S ribosomal RNA". It matches the Rfam family "Bacterial small subunit ribosomal RNA", at positions 524 to 776 of the family's 1533-position model. The record is from RNAcentral.